This 448-nucleotide ribosomal RNA is filed under the name uncultured bacterium. RNAcentral describes it as "bacterial SSU rRNA". It matches the Rfam family "Bacterial small subunit ribosomal RNA", at positions 28 to 458 of the family's 1533-position model. The record is from RNAcentral.
GAUGAACGCUGGCGGCGUGCUUAACACAUGCAAGUCGAGCGAAGCACUUAAGUUCGAUUCUUCGGAUGAAGACUUUUGUGACUGAGCGGCGGACGGGUGAGUAACGCGUGGGUAACCUGCCUCAUACAGGGGGAUAACAGUUAGAAAUGGCUGCUAAUACCGCAUAAGACCACAGUACUGCAUGGUACAGUGGUAAAAACUCCGGUGGUAUGAGAUGGACCCGCGUCUGAUUAGGUAGUUGGUGAGGUAACGGCCCACCAAGCCGACGAUCAGUAGCCGACCUGAGAGGGUGACCGGCCACAUUGGGACUGAGACACGGCCCAGACUCCUACGGGAGGCAGCAGUGGGGAAUAUUGCACAAUGGGCGAAAGCCUGAUGCAGCGACGCCGCGUGAAGGAUGAAGUAUUUCGGUAUGUAAACUUCUAUCAGCAGGGAAGAAAAUGACGGU